CCCACGUCUCUUCCCACCGCUGAGUCGCCGUUCAGUGGAUUUGCUCCACUGCCGAGUCGCCGGCCACCUCCCACCACCGGCCACCACGUUUUCUGCUCCUGUCAUCGAGAUUCCGUGGAUCGAUUGAGCUCCAAAUUAAAGAACAUUGAAGUGAUCACCGCUCUCGGAGAUUCGGGCCACCGGAAUCCGGGUCUUGAAGUUGAAAAUACCCAGAGCGCUUUCUUCCUAUGUGCAUGCCUUCUGCUGUUAACUGCUAACUCAGGCCUUUCUUCUUGUGCGAAACCAUAGCCGGCUUCACUUUUCUCACUUCAAUCCAACACUCUUAGUGAAAACCCAAUUCCCAAAACUAUCUGAGCACACCAAAGCUCUAUCAGAAAGGAAUUGGGGUGACCAUUGUUUGUCCUGGUCCAAUAGAAACAUCAAAUGGUACAGGUGCAGCAAGCUCAGAGAAUAAAGCUUCUUCUGAGAAGCGUGUGUCAUCAGAAAGGUGUGCAGAGUUGACAAUAAUUGCUGCCACCCAUGGUCUAAAGGAAGUUUGGAUAUCAUACCAGAUUAGCUGCUGCUUUGACAACUAUGGUGUUCCUCAGGGACAGUUGUUUGAAUUUCAAGUCCAUCUGAAUAGCAAUAGAGUAUUGAUGGGGAGUGAAGGUGACUCUGACUAACCUAUUUCAACAAAGCAUCAGCAUAAGUUCUCAGACUAUGCCUUCUGGAGAGAUCUCAAAGAAAGGUGCAAAGAGAGCCAAAAUGCAAGAUAAAGUUGCACAUGCAGUUGAUGUUUCAGCUAGGCAACAAAGGCAUAAUCCCAUGAGAAAUUCUGAAGCAAAUUUGAGUUCUUCGUCUCAUUUGCCAGCAGAUGCAGAACCUAUUUCAACUGAAGGUGAAGCUACAGAAAAGCCAAAAAUACCACCUAGAGGUAAAGCAAAAUUGUUGGACAUUAGCAAGAAAAAGAGAAAACGUCCUAUCCUGGUUGAAUUCAAUGAAAGAGGCCAGCCAAUUGGGAAAACUGCAGCUCUAUUCUCCUCAUUUAUUGGAUGCACAGCAAGAGAGCUAAUACCAAUGACU
Long non-coding RNA from Rosa rugosa (rugosa rose), 1062 nucleotides. RefSeq lists it as uncharacterized. The transcript has 6 exons. NCBI's taxonomy places the organism in Eukaryota, Viridiplantae, Streptophyta, Magnoliopsida, Rosales, Rosaceae. The record is from RefSeq and is a predicted model, not a curated record.